UGCCACCACCAUGUAAAAAGUGUCUUUCGGCUCCUGCCAUGAUUCUGAGGCCUCCCCAGCCAAUUGGAACUGGGAAGAACGGAAGGCAAUGCCUCCGAAUUAAAUUUUGGGACCCCCAGUAAAAUUUCAGAAAAGCCCAGAAUUGAUCUCAGAAUGCACAAACUCGACAUGUCUUUGGCAGAGAAGGCUCCGAGAUUUCAGUGCGUUCAUUGCUCUCCACUAAGGAGCUGCUCAGGCCGCCCUUGCAUCCACAGCAAAGGGGCUUCCCUCUGCUCUGCUCUGCUCUCGGGUUCGGAAUCCGGAGCGAGUUUCCAGUGAGGGGCGCCCGCUGAGCGCGUGGGAAAGCAUCGCGCGUGCCCUUCCCCGCGCGCGUCUGCGGAUCAGCGCAGGCGAGGAAUGCAGAUGUGAGGCUGGAGGCAGUAGAGCCAUCUCGCAAUCAUGCAGCAACAAGCAAGGCGGAGCUGGCAUGUUGUUGACUGAUAACAUCGAGAAGCUGCUAUGUUAAUUAUUAAUCCUGCACUGCCAAUCUCUGAACUUCUUGGUAUAUUGGGAACAUAAACUCUUUUGGUUAGGCACUGCGUCAGAUUUCUAUUACAUGCAGCCAAAUGCAAUCUUAAUUGAGAUACCCCUUUACCUAAGUUAGCUUUAGCUGUUCUUGCAACUGUUUGUGCUCCACCCACGGCAUAUGGGAUCCCUUUUGCCCACAGCACCCUCCCUCAGUGUGAUGUCCCCCAACCAGUAUUUGCAGCUUUUUUGUUUUGUUUUGUUUUGUUUUUUAAUCACAAAACUGCUCUCAGGCUGCCAAAUCUGUUGGCCCUAGAGCAAGAAGUGCUAUCUCCUGGG
This is a long non-coding RNA of Mandrillus leucophaeus (drill), 843 nucleotides long. RefSeq lists it as uncharacterized. The record is from RefSeq and is a predicted model, not a curated record. The transcript has 3 exons. NCBI's taxonomy places the organism in Eukaryota, Metazoa, Chordata, Mammalia, Primates, Cercopithecidae.